GACGAACGCUGGCGGCGUGCUUAACACAUGCCAGUCGAACGGGCCUUGUCCCCUUUUUUUUGGGGGUGGGGUUAGUGGCGAACGGGUGAGUAACACGUGAGUAACCUGCCCCUCACUUCUGGAUAACCGCUUGAAAGGGUGGCUAAUACGGGGUGUUCUGGCCUGCUCGCAUGGGUGGGUUUGGAAAGAUUCGACCGGUUUUGGUUGUUUUGGUGGGGGAUGGGCUCGCGGCCUAUCAGCUUGUUGGUGGGGUGAUGGCCUGCCAAGGCUUUGACGGGUAGCCGGCCUGAGAGGGUGGGCGGUCACACUGGGACUGAGACACGGCCCAGACUCCUACGGGAGGCAGCAGUGGGGAAUAUUGCACAAUGGGCGCAAGCCUGAUGCAGCGACGCCGCGUGAGGGAUGGAGGCCUUCGGGUUGGGAACCUCUUUCGCCAGUGAAGAAGGUCCUGCUCUUUGUGGUGGGGUUGACGGUAGCUGGGUUAAUGAAGCGCCGGCUAACUACGUG
RNAcentral lists this ribosomal RNA (507 nucleotides) under uncultured bacterium. Its description in RNAcentral is "partial 16S ribosomal RNA". It matches the Rfam family "Bacterial small subunit ribosomal RNA", at positions 28 to 507 of the family's 1533-position model. The record is from RNAcentral.